This 275-nucleotide unclassified non-coding RNA is filed under the name Hevea brasiliensis (rubber tree). Lineage: Eukaryota; Viridiplantae; Streptophyta; Magnoliopsida; Malpighiales; Euphorbiaceae. The record is from RNAcentral.
GUUUUUCCCUAACAGCAAAAAAUGCAAUGAACUGACAGUGUAAUCUUUUCACAAAUGCUAUUUCACAAUAACCAGACAGCAGAUGGGAUAAAUCUAUCAUUCAUGUGUGUGAAAAGCGGUGACCACACAAAUGGGGAUUGAUAUUCUCCAAGUCAUAACUUUCUCCCUGUUGCAGUUGUUUGCUCCCUCUUCAUUUGCCUUAGACUUAAUUCACGAAUUCCCGACGAAUGAAGAGGUGGUGAUUCAAUAGGAAUGUAGCGUACAGACAUCUUAGC